GAACAGCAGAGGGAGAACAGGGAACAGCAGAGGGAGAACAGUGAACAGCAGAGGGAGAACUGGGAACAGCAGAGGGAGAACAGUGAACAGCAGAGGGAGAACAGUGAACAGCAGAGGGAGAACAGGGAACAGCAGAGGGAGAACAGUGAACAGCAGAGGGAGAACAGUGAACAGCAGAGGGAGAACAGUGAACAGCAGAGGGAGAACAGGGAACAGCAGAGGGAGAACGGGGAACAGCAGAGGGAGAACGGGGAACAGCAGAGGGAGAACAGGGAACAGCAGAGGGAGAAGGGGGAGCAGCAGAGGGAGAACAGUGAACAGCAGAGGGAGAACGGUGAACAGCAGAGGGAGAUCGGGGAACAGCAGAGGGAGAACAGUGAACAGCAGAGGGAGAACAGUGAACAGCAGAGGGAGAACAGUGAACAGCAGAGGGAGAAUGGUGAACAGUAGAGGGAGAACAGGGAACAGCAGAGGGAAAACAGGGAACAGCAGAGGGAGAACAGGGAACAGCAGAGGGAGAACAGGGAACAGCAGAGGGAGAACAGUGAACAGCAGAGGGAGAACAGUGAACAGCAGAGGGAGAACAGUGAACAGCAGAGGGAGAACAGUGAACAGCAGAGGGAGAACAGGGAACAGCAGAGGGAGAACAGUGAACAGCAGAGGGAGAACAGUGAACAGCAGAGGGAGAACAGUGAACAGUAGAGGGAGAACAGGGAACAGCAGAGGGAAAACAGGGAACAGCAGAGGGAGAACAGGGAACAGCAGAGGGAGAACGGGGAACAGCAGAGGGAGAACGGGGAACAGCAGAGGGAGAACGGGGAACAGCAGAGGGAGAACAGGGAACAGCAGAGGGAGAAUGGGGGAACAGCAGAGGGAGAACGGGGAACAGCAGAGGGAGAACAGGGAACAGCAGAGGGAGAACGGGGAACAGCAGAGGUGAGCGUUCAUGUGCAAAGGAUUAGCAUUUCAAUUGUUAUAAUGAUCAACUCUGUAGUGACCUCUCAGCUGACUCCCUCUUUUGUCCACCAAGCUACGAUGCCGGUUCAGCCCACUAGGACACAUUAUCCUAUCAUUUGUUGUAACCAUAUUUACUUUGUUUGUUUAUGCACUUCUGUGAAUGACUUAGUUAGUAAUAAAUAAAUGAUUUAAGACAAUUGAUGUAUGGAUGACUAAUAGUGAAGACUGGGUUCAUGCAUAUAACCAAUAAUUUACGAUGUUUGGAAUGAGACUAACGUGAGGUAAAGUAAAUCAUUCAUUAAUCAGAAGACUAUG
Long non-coding RNA from Oncorhynchus tshawytscha (Chinook salmon), 1272 nucleotides. The record is from Ensembl. Lineage: Eukaryota; Metazoa; Chordata; Actinopteri; Salmoniformes; Salmonidae.